This 438-nucleotide long non-coding RNA is filed under the name Phoenix dactylifera (date palm). RNAcentral's name for it is "long non-coding RNA (PDAC_LNC004829)". The record is from RNAcentral. Lineage: Eukaryota; Viridiplantae; Streptophyta; Magnoliopsida; Arecales; Arecaceae.
GUUUGACCAUGAAAAAGUAGCGUAUUACAGAAUAAUUUAUAUUUGGUUGAAUAUCUAUUUUUUGAAAAAAAUAUGUAAAAUAUGGGUUGUGCUCUUAGUAAAGGAAAAAAUCGUGCUUUAUUCUAUCUAAAAGUUUAAGGGAGCUUUCGAGAAAAAAAAUUUAUCUUAAUUGGAUAUUAAUUUUUUUCAUAUCCUACAUGAAUUUUUCUUUCUAAUUGAAUGUGGGGAUCUUAUUCCUAUGGAAAAACUUUAAUUAAAUAUGAGAUAAUUCUCUAUUAUUUUGUUGACCAUAUUUUUCCCCUUCUUUUCCUGUGUCGCGAACCAAAUGAGUCCUAAAUGGAUGGACUGAUGGAGGGUGGCAUCGGUUUUUUCUCCCAAUAUAUUUCCUAGUUUUCUAAUAUACUUCAUAACUUCUCUAUAUUUAUAUGAUUUUUUUCU